This 513-nucleotide ribosomal RNA is filed under the name uncultured bacterium. RNAcentral's name for it is "partial 16S ribosomal RNA". It matches the Rfam family "Bacterial small subunit ribosomal RNA", at positions 28 to 523 of the family's 1533-position model. The record is from RNAcentral.
GACGAACGCUGGCGGCGUGCUUAACACAUGCAAGUCGAACGAUGAAGCCGGAGCUUGCUCUGGUGAAUUAGUGGCGAACGGGUGAGUAACACGUGGGUAACCUGCCCAUAAGACUGGGAUAACUCCGGGAAACCGGGGCUAAUACCGGAUAACAUUUUGAACCGCAUGGUUCGAAAUUGAAAGGCGGCUUCGGCUGUCACUUAUGGAUGGACCCGCGUCGCAUUAGCUAGUUGGUGAGGUAACGGCUCACCAAGGCAACGAUGCGUAGCCGACCGGAGAGGGUGAUCGGCCACACUGGGACUGAGACACGGCCCAGACUCCUACGGGAGGCAGCAGUAGGGAAUCUUCCGCAAUGGACGAAAGUCUGACGGAGCAACGCCGCGUGAGUGAUGAAGGCUUUCGGGUCGUAAAACUCUGUUGUUAGGGAAGAACAAGUGCUAGUUGAAUAAGCUGGCACCUUGACGGUACCUAACCAGAAAGCCACGGCUAACUACGUGCCAGCAGCAGCCGCAG